This 164-nucleotide ribosomal RNA is filed under the name Swertia hispidicalyx. RNAcentral's name for it is "5.8S ribosomal RNA". It matches the Rfam family "5.8S ribosomal RNA". Rfam says of the family: 5.8S ribosomal RNA (5.8S rRNA) is a component of the large subunit of the eukaryotic ribosome. It is transcribed by RNA polymerase I as part of the 45S precursor that also contains 18S and 28S rRNA. The record is from RNAcentral. Lineage: Eukaryota; Viridiplantae; Streptophyta; Magnoliopsida; Gentianales; Gentianaceae.
AAAACGACUCUCGGCAACGGAUAUCUCGGCUCUCGCAUCGAUGAAGAACGUAGCGAACGGCGAUACUUGGUGUGAAUUGCAGAAUCCCGUGAACCAUCGAGUCUUUGAACGCAAGUUGCGCCCGAAGCCAUUAGGCCGAGGGCACGUCUGCCUGGGCGUCACGC